Non-coding RNA from Arvicanthis niloticus (Nile rat), 1630 nucleotides. The record is from RefSeq and is a predicted model, not a curated record. NCBI's taxonomy places the organism in Eukaryota, Metazoa, Chordata, Mammalia, Rodentia, Muridae.
CAGAGGCAGUCGGGGUUAGAGAGGACUGGGAGGCAGACACUUUGCUGUGUUCAAAUCGAAGUAAAGUUUCCUUUAGGGUGCAAAAAUGCAGAGCAAUAAAACCUUUAACUUGGAGAAGGAGAAUCAUACUCCAAGGAAGCAUCACCAACAUCACCAUCAUCACCAUCAUCACCAUCAUCAUCAUCAUCACCAGCAGCAGCCGCCGCCACCCCGACCAAUACCUGCAAAUGGACAGCAGGCCAGCAGCCAGAAUGAAGGCUUGACUAUUGACCUGAAGAAUUUUAGGAAACCAGGAGAGAAGACCUUUACCCGACGUAGCCGUCUCUUUGUGGGCAAUCUUCCCCCUGACAUCACUGAGGAGGAAAUGAGGAAACUUUUUGAGAAAUGUGGAAAAGCAGGUGAAGUUUUCAUUCAUAAGGAUAAAGGCUUUGGCUUUAUUCACUUGGAAACACGAACCCUAGCGGAAAUCACCAAAGUGGAGCUGGACAAUAUGCCACUCCACUCCGUGGAAAGCAGCUACGAGUGCGCUUUGCCUGUCACAGUGCAUCCCUUACAGUCUGUAACCUUCCUCAGUACGUGUCCAACGAACUUCUGGAAGAAGCCUUUUCUUUGUUUGGUCAGGUGGAGAGGGCUGUAGUCAUUGUGGAUGACCGAGAAGGCCCUCGGAGAAAGGCAUUGUUGAGUUCUCAGGGAAGCCAGCUGCUCGGAAAGCUCUGGACAGAUGCAGUGAAGGCUCCUUCUUGCUAACCACAUUUCCUCGACCUGUGACUGUGGAGCCUAUGGACCACCCAGAUUUGCACAACCUGGGUCCUUUGAGUAUGAGUAUGCCAUGUGCUGGAAGGCACUCAUUGAGAUGGAGAAGUAACAGCAGGAUCAAGUGGACGGGAACAUCAAGGAAGCUCGUGAAAAGCUGGAGAUGGAAACGGAGGCAGCAAUGCAGCACGCCAUGAGCACCAGGUUAUGCUAAUGAGGCAGGAUUUGAUGAGACAUCAAGAACAGCUUCGGAGGAUGGAGAAGCUGCAUAACCAAGAGGUUCAGAAACGAAAGCAGUUAGAACUCAGGCAGGAAGAGGAACGCAGGCACCGAGAGGAAGAGAUGCGUCGACAAGAAGAAAUGACGCAUCGACAGCAGGAAGGCUUCAAGGGAACUUUCCCUGAUGUGAGAGAACAAGAGAUACGGAUGGGCCAAAUGGCUAUGGGAGGUGCUAUGGGCAUAAACAAUAGAGGUGCCAUGCCCCCUGCUCCUGUGCCACUUGGUACUCCAGCUCCUCCAGGACCUGCCACUAUGAUGCCAGAUGAAACCCUUGGAUUGACCCCACCAACAACCGAACGUUUUGGCCAAGCUGCUACAAUGGAAGGAAUUGGAGCAAUUGGUGGAACUCCUCCUGCAUUCAACCGUCCAGCUCCAGGAGCUGAAUUUGCUCCAAAUAAACACCGCCGAUAUUAGAUAAAGUUGCAUCGUCUAGUUUCCUGCAGCCCUUAAAAGAAGGGCCCUUUUCGGACUAGCCAGAAUUCUACCCUGGAAAAGUGUUAGGGGUUCUUCUCAAUAGAUAGGUCUUCCCUGCUUGUACUACUCUAGGGAGUAUGCUUGAAGGCAGAGGGGCAAGGGAGGGGUGGUGUUUAACAAGUCA